This 484-nucleotide ribosomal RNA is filed under the name uncultured bacterium. RNAcentral describes it as "partial 16S ribosomal RNA". It matches the Rfam family "Bacterial small subunit ribosomal RNA", at positions 29 to 507 of the family's 1533-position model. The record is from RNAcentral.
AUUGAACGCUGGCGGCAUGCUUUACACAUGCAAGUCGAACGGCAGCGCGGGCUUCGGCCUGGCGGCGAGUGGCGAACGGGUGAGUAAUACAUCGGAACGUGCCCAGUAGUGGGGGAUAGCUCGGCGAAAGCCGGAUUAAUACCGCAUACGACCUGAGGGUGAAAGCGGGGGAUCUUCGGACCUCUCGCUAUUGGAGCGGCCGAUGGCAGAUUAGCUAGUUGGUGGGGUAAAGGCCUACCAAGGCGACGAUCUGUAGCUGGUCUGAGAGGACGACCAGCCACACUGGGACUGAGACACGGCCCAGACUCCUACGGGAGGCAGCAGUGGGGAAUUUUGGACAAUGGGCGAAAGCCUGAUCCAGCAAUGCCGCGUGUGUGAUGAAGGCCUUCGGGUUGUAAAGCACUUUUGGCGGGAACGAAAAGGACUGUGCCAAUACCACGGUUCGAUGACGGUACCCGCAGAAUAAGCACCGGCUAACUACGUG